Molecule: ribosomal RNA, 468 nt
Filed under: uncultured bacterium
Lineage: Bacteria
Description: partial 16S ribosomal RNA
Rfam family: Bacterial small subunit ribosomal RNA
Source: RNAcentral
GACGAACGCUGGCGGCGUGCUUAACACAUGCAAGUCGAACGGAAAGGCCCUGCUUUUGUGGGGUGCUCGAGUGGCGAACGGGUGAGUAACACGUGAGUAACCUGCCCUUGACUUUGGGAUAACUUCAGGAAACUGGGGCUAAUACCGGAUAGGAGCUCCUGCUGCAUGGUGGGGGUUGGACAGUUUCGGCGGUUGGGGAUGGACUCGCGGCUUAUCAGCUUGUUGGUGGGGUAGUGGCUUACCAAGGCUUUGACGGGUAGCCGGCCUGAGAGGGUGACCGGCCACAUUGGGACUGAGAUACGGCCCAGACUCCUACGGGAGGCAGCAGUGGAGAAUAUUGCACAAUGGGCGGAAGCCUGAUGCAGCAACGCCGCGUGCGGGAUGACGGCCUUCGUGUUGUAAACCGCUUUCGCCUGUGACGAAGCGUGAGUGACGGUAAUGGGUAAAGAAGUACCGGCUAACUACGUG